This 2349-nucleotide ribosomal RNA is filed under the name Triticum aestivum (bread wheat). RNAcentral describes it as "partial small subunit ribosomal RNA". Lineage: Eukaryota; Viridiplantae; Streptophyta; Magnoliopsida; Poales; Poaceae. The record is from RNAcentral.
AUGAGGUGUUGCGACCCUUCCCAAAAUAUGUGUUCGGUUUGGUCGGCUGCUCCCUGCAUCAGUCAUUGGAGGAGCGAGCUCCCCAACGGCGGCCACGCCGACGACCCGGCGCCACCACCCCCUGUCCCCCGCCCGGCAUCUGUACGGUGCCGAGGCCGCGAUGCAUGGAUCCGUCGGCGCGGGUCCCUGCUCGCAGCCGGUGGAGAGAGCGCGCGCAGCGGCGGAGUACUGCUCGUGACGGCCGGCCUCACAGCGAGGGUGACGGUGAGGCGAUGCUGGGUCGGCGUGGCUCCCCAUGGCCGCCGAGGGGACGAGCAUGCGGAGGUCCUCGACUACCUCAACGACGAUGAGGAGGUAGCGCCCGUAGAGGAGAGCCUUGUCGUCGGCAUGAUGGGAGGCCCAUGGUGGCUGAUGCUGGAGUGGGCAGAUCUGAACUCGGCUGAUGGAGCACGCCGCCAUCGGGGGAGACGACGAGCCCAGCAUUGGCGAGCUCGAUGGAGGAGCCGCGUCGAGAAAGGAAAGGUGGGAAAGGAGCUCGGAGGAGCCGCUCCGAGAUGCGGCGGCUGCUUGGCGGUGCCCGGAGCGACGCGACUGGCGCGCCGCGCACUGAUGCGGACGAGGCCGUCACGGCCUAGCUCGAGCGGCGCCCGGUCACAGGGCCGAGAUGCGGUGGCUGUUGGCGGCGCCGAGCGCGACGUGGACAUGCACAUCCCACACUGCCGCAAGCGCGCCGCCAUGGACCACGACCCUCCCAUCCAUCUUCAGGGUAACACUCCCUUCCUCCCUGUGUGCAUCGACCGAUGGAUCUCUGUUGUUGCUACUGGAAUCCUCAUUGUGCUUAGGAAUCUACAGCAGAGGUACCUAUCAAGCUUUGUUAGUCAGAGGGUACAAGGCGUGCAGUCUGGCGCCGCUUCUCUUUCUAAUAAAGGGAUUCAUAGGAGUGAUCCACAAAGAGUUUUACACAACUUCAUCAAAAUACUAAAUCGAGGAAUUUCAAAUGCAGCAAGGGAGGAAGUAAGUGUUCUUAGCACAGGCAUUGCGCCGGUGUAUGUAGUAGAGAAAGGCCUGCUGAAAAAGCAGCUUCUGCGUACUUGUGGAGGCCUUGUAUUUACUGGCUCUGCAAUCUAUGGCAUUAAGGCUUUGAUUGAUAGUUAUGUUAAGGAUAUGGCUGAAAAUCUCGAAAACACAGAAGUUGGUAAAUCUGGUGGUUUGAAUGAAGUGGCCAUGGAGAUAAGCACAAAAUUCAGUGACGUAAAGGGGGUUGAUGAAGCCAAGGCUGAGCUUGAGGACAUAGUUCACUACCUACGAGAUCCCAAGCAUUUCACACGCCUUGGUGGCAAGCUUCCAAAGGGUGUUUUGCUUAUGGGCCCGCCUGGCACAGGGAAGACCAUGUUGGCAAGGGCUGUGGCCGGGGAAGCCGGCGUCCCCUUUUUUCCGUGCAGCGGCAGUGAUUUUGAGGAGGUCUAUGUAGGUCUUGGGGCUAAGAGAGUGAGGGACCUCUUUCAUGCAGCAAAGCAGCUGUCUCCUUGCAUAAUUUUCAUCGAUGAAAUUGAUGGGAUUGGUGGGCGCAGACACGCAGGAGGUUCAAUGUCGCAGAGGCAGACCCUGAACCAGCUGCUUCUUGAGAUGGAUGGCUUCAAGCAGAAUGACGGGAUCAUCGUGGUCGCGGCGACCAACUUCCCCGAGUCAUUAGAUAGCGCCCUUGUCAGGCCUGGGCGUUUUGACCGUCAAGUCAAUGUCCCUAUUCCAGAUGUUGAGGGCCGACGACAGAUCCUUGAGGCUUACAUGUCAAAAGUGUCUACAGGCAAGGGUGUGGAUGCAAUGACCAUUGCGAGGGGAACGCCUGGGUUUUCAGGUGCAGACCUUGCAAGCCUAGUGAACGAUGCCGCUCUCAAGGCUUCCACGGAUGGGGCAAGUGCUGUUGGGACUGAUCACUUCGAGUACGUCAAGGACAAGAUCCUCAUGGGCAGCAAGCGCAAGUCGUUGGUGGUAUCUGAACAAUCCAGGAAGAAGACUGCGUACCACGAGGGUGGGCACGCCCUUGUUGCUAUCCUCACAGACGGUGCUGAACCUGUCCACAAGGUCACCAUUGCGCCCAGAGGAAAUACUCUCGGUAUGGUGGCGCAGCUGCUGGGGGAAGACAGUGAGCUGGAACUCUCCAAGAAGCAGUUGCUGGCGAUGCUGGAUGUGUGCAUGGGAGGGCGAGUGGCUGAGGAGCUUAUAUUUGGAGAGGCCGGGAUCACCACUGGUGUCUCAUCUGACCUAAGCAAGGCGACUCAAUUGGCGAAAGCCAUGGUCACCAGGGUAUGGUAUGAGCAACCGGGUCGGCUUUGUUUCGUACGGCAAUGA